GGAGGGUUGGCUGAAAUGGCUAAAGCGCCGGUUUCGAAAAUCGGUGGGAGAAAUCCCUUGCAGGUUCGAGUCCUGUACCCUCCGCCA
Molecule: transfer RNA, 87 nt
Filed under: Candidatus Cloacimonadota bacterium
Lineage: Bacteria; Pseudomonadati; Candidatus Cloacimonadota
Description: tRNA-Ser
Rfam family: tRNA
About the family: Transfer RNA (tRNA) molecules are approximately 80 nucleotides in length. Their secondary structure includes four short double-helical elements and three loops (D, anti-codon, and T loops).
Source: RNAcentral